This is a long non-coding RNA of Hibiscus syriacus, 2255 nucleotides long. RefSeq lists it as uncharacterized. NCBI's taxonomy places the organism in Eukaryota, Viridiplantae, Streptophyta, Magnoliopsida, Malvales, Malvaceae. The record is from RefSeq and is a predicted model, not a curated record. The transcript is spliced from 10 exons.
UUCUAAAAAAAAUAGUAUGUAGCAUGUGCAGAAGGUUUGAUUCGGGCAUACAACAUUCAUACAUAUGCGGUUCUUUAUACACUACAACUUGAUUGUACCAUUAAGCUCCUUGGUGCUGGUGCAUUUGCUUUUCACCCGAUGCUGGAAUGGACUUUUGUUGGUGAUGGACGUGGUACGCUUCUUGCAUGGGACGUAUCAACAGAAAGACCUAUUAUGAUUGGAAUUACUCAGGUGGGUUCUCAGCCUAUCGCAUCAGUUGCUUGGCUUUCACCGCUGGGUUUACUUGUCAUUCUUUCCAAAGAUGUAACUCUACAAGUUUGGAAAACACGAUUGGAAGUUAAUCAUAAUAUAUUUCCAGCGCAAGUAAAUUCCUUUGAGCCUGCUUACGGACAGACUUUCUAGGAAGGGAGUAGGAGGAUAUACCUAUAUAUUAUAUAUAUGUAUCCUAAUUAAAAAUCACAUAUGCUGGUCUUUAGAUGUUUCCUUUGCAGCAAUUGAAUCAUUGGAAAUCCCACGCCUUCUUUCUCAGCAGGGUGGGGAAGCAGUUUAUCCCCUACCAAGAAUCAGAGCUUUUGAAGUUCAAUCAAAAUUGAACUUAGCAGCUUUGCUUUUCGCAAGUAUGAUCAGUGGCAACAACUUAAAGAAUAGAGCUGCUUAUGCUAGGGAAGGAAACAGCUCUUUGCUGUUCUGCAAAGUGCCGGGGAUCUUCAGCAUCUAUCUUAAAGGAGAAGCUCUCAUCCAUGGAUUCCUCUGGUAUUUUAGCUGAUCAUCAUCUUCAAGUGAAACUGCAAGAACAACACAUGAAGGGCCAAAGUCGUCUUACAAUUUCUGACAUUGCUCGGAAGGCAUUCCUCUAUAGUCAUUUCAUGGAAGGUCAUGCUAAAAUUGCCCCUAUAUCUAGGCUGCCUCUCAUCACUAUUAUGGAUUCUAAAAAUAAACUGAAGGAUAUUCCUGUUUUCCAGGUGAAUUGGUUCUGCAUCAAUAUCUAUGUGCCCUUUAGUUUAACUUUAUCUCACCUGGCUGACUUUUAUUGGAGCUCAAUUUUUUCAACAAGGAGAAUCGAGUUCUUCAUUACCCUGUCGGGGCUUUUUAUGUAGAUGGCAUGAACAUCAUGGCUUACAAUCUUUGUUCUGGAGCACAUAGUGUUUACAAGAAAGUUUGAACAUCGUUCCCAGGGAAUGUGGAAUACUAUCCUAAACAUAUGAUUUAUGGUAAGAAGCGGAAUCUGUUUCUCAUUAUUUAUGAGUUUAGAGGAAGUACAAACGAAGUGGUCCUUUAUUGGGAAAAUAAUGAUUUCAAGUUCUCAAACAGAAAAAGGAAGCACAAUCCAAGGAUGUGAUGCAGCUUUCAUCGGUCCCAAUGACAAUAAAUUUGCUAUUCUUGAUGAAUAUAACUCCGGAAUGGCUCUGUAUAUUCUUCCUGGUGCAGCUUUACAAGAAGCUAAUGACAAAAUUGGUGCAUAUGAACCAAAUCUUUUACCUGAUGAACCUGUGGAUGCAAAAGCUAAUUCUGUUCAGGGUCCUAUUCCAUUUAUGUUUGACACAGAAGUCGGUCGUAUAUUUUCCACUUCUAUAGGUGAUUGGUGACAUUUGUUUCUACAUAUCGGAUGCCAUCAUUUGUCACACAUACUGUGAUCAAUAUCUUAUACGAUUGUAGAGUCCACUUUGAUGUUUGCUUGUAAUGGGAAGCAAAUUGGUUUGACAAAGUUGUUUCAAGGGUCCUGGCUUCCAAAUUCUGAUGGUCACUAUAUAUCGACAAAAACAGAAGGGAAAAAGUACGUAAGGUUAAACGCAAAUGAGAUUGUGCUUCAGGUCCAUUGGCAACAAACUCUGAGAGGCUAUGCUGCUGGAGUAUUAACUACUCAAAGAGUGCUUAUAGUUUCAGCAGAUAUUGAUGUACUUGCUAGCAAUUCCUCUAAAUUUGACAAAGGAAAUCUGUCAUGGUUGGAGGAGAAGGGCGAGAACACGAGGAAGAAUUGGGGGAAGAAACGCGAAUGUUAGGGAUUGAGCAAGAGAAAUUAGGGAUUAAGACACGUAAGAAAGGGGCUAAUGAUUUACCUGAAGUGGAGCAGGCUGAUUCAGAUCAGACGUGGUUGGAGCAGGCCCAAGAAGAAUGAGAGCACCCCAAGUCCGCUAGACCAAUAUCUGCAGAAGAAGACAAAUUAUUAGGAGUUGUUAUAUUUUGUUAGAAAGGACAGCCAGCUGGCAAUCCUUCGGUAAUCUUUGUAACUAAAUAAAUUGGUUGAGUAAAUAUUU